AUGCCGGGAUAUAGCGAGGCAGGGAGGCGCGAGGCAUGUCGGGAUAUACCGCGGCAUGGUAGCGCGGGGCUUGCCGGGAGGUACCGGGGCGGGGCUGCGCAGAGCAUGCCGGGAUACAACGAGGCAGGGCCACUGGGCAUGCUGGGAUAUAGCGAGGCCGUGCUGGCGCUGAGCAUGCCGGGAUAUAGCGAGGCAGGAUGGACAGGCCCGGUCUGGGUUCAGGGGCUGGUCACACACCGGCAUGGCGGCCGUGGGUCCCUGCCCGGGCCUCCGGGUCUCGCUGCCCACCUGUGGUCCCUGGCGCCGCAGCAGCCACCGAAGGCACCGGCUUGGGGGCCCACAGCGGGGCCGGUGUUUGGGAAACACCCGGGCACGGGGGGGUCUCGGUGCCAGGGGCUCCCCAGGUCGCCCCCGUGCUCGGGUGUCCCCGGGCUGGCGGGACUUGAGCCCAGCGCGGCCCCGGGUCCCUUCCUGGUUCGGGGAUUCGCUUUCGUGGCUCAGGACCGCACCUACCCCCCGGCAGGGGAGUGUCACCUCUCGGGGCUCAGGACCCCCUCAUCCCCGGCUUUAGGGAUGUUUGGGGGGUUCGUGCCCCCUCCACCCCCGUCCCGCGGCUCCCGGCGCGGCUUAUCCAUCCCCGCUUUCUCAAUUAAAUCGUUCUUGGAGGCGAGCACGGCGAUUCUUUCCAGGGGCCGGGUUUGGCCGGGUUUCAGCCCUGUCUAUUUUCGAGCUGUGGCCGCCGGCGCUGCCCCGGGCAGGGUGUCCCGGGCUGUCCCGGUCAGGCUGUCCCGGGCUGCCCCGGGCUGUCCCCGCUCCCCUCGGCCGCGCCUCAGCACAACUUCUGCCCCGUUUGUGCUGACUCGGCCCCGUUGUGCGGAAACGGCCUCUCGCCACACCUUCCCGUGCUAUCCCCGCUCCCGGCUCGUCCCGUCUCUCGGCUGUCCCCGCCGUGUCCCCUGUCCCGCUCCGCCAUGGGGCUGCCGCUGCCGCUGCUGCUGCUGCUGCUGCUGCCCGCGCUGCUGCCCGCCCGCUGCUGCGGUGAGUGCGGCCCCGGCCCCGAACCUGCCCGGGACCCCCGGCCGGGGCUCGCCCUGA
RNAcentral lists this long non-coding RNA (1095 nucleotides) under Junco hyemalis (dark-eyed junco). RNAcentral describes it as "lncRNA (ENSJHYG00000018419.1)". Lineage: Eukaryota; Metazoa; Chordata; Aves; Passeriformes; Passerellidae. The record is from RNAcentral.